This 9369-nucleotide long non-coding RNA is filed under the name Homo sapiens (human). Its description in RNAcentral is "non-protein coding lnc-MOCS1-6:1". The record is from RNAcentral. Lineage: Eukaryota; Metazoa; Chordata; Mammalia; Primates; Hominidae.
GGCAGGUCAUUGGUUGUCAUUGAGGAAGACAAGGUGAGUGGGCCCCCAGGGGGUGGUGGGGAAGAUACAGGGCCUGUCUGUGAGGAAACAGAAAAAUUGCAAGGACAAAGCCAUCAGCACCGUUGCCAUUCAGGUCUCCCACCAUGAUUCCUCUCCUUCUAGUUUCUUUCUAUACUAGGCCCCAAAUCCUACCCUUAUCUUCUACACACAUUUGGCCCCAUUUUCUCUCUCUGCAUCCAAACAUCUAACACACGCAAACACACACACACCACCACCACAGACACACACACGUCACGCACACGGACACUGGACAAUCAGAGUCAUAGCCAUCACAAUGCAACAGCAGGACUGAUCUAUGCAGUUGUGUAGGUUACUGACUGCACAAGAUCUCCAGCUGAGAGAGGGAAGUGGAUCCAAUUCCAGCUGCACUCUGCUGUCCAAGGUGUGCUUCCUGGCACAGUGUCACCCAGAGGAAGGGACAUUAUUUUUCUAACACAAAGAUGCCACCUGUACAGCCUCAAGGGUCUCUUCUAUCCUGGCCCAAGGUCUCCAUCUCCCUUCUCCCUCAUGCUGGGGUCCUUGGCCUCUCCGACACCUGCUCUGCCCACCCAGUCCUGAAGCCCAGGGUCUUGGCUCAACUAUGUAAAGGGGGAGAUGCUUGCAUACUGAGAGUUCACUGAGCUGGGCUACCAGCUCUGCCACUUGUCCCCGAGCCUGGCGCAGCUCCUGGGACUCCCGGGCCAGCUUGUCCUUCAUUUUGUUCAGCGUCCGCAUCAUCUCUUCCUUCUCCAAUGUCUUUGUCUCGCAUUCCCGCUCCUUCCUCUCCAGACGGCUCACAAGCUCCAUGUGUUCUGGAAUGGGGGUGGGACGGGAGAGGAAACAGAAGGAGAGAAUGUGAGUAAUGUGACUCCCUGCCUGGAAGGGCAUGGAGUUAUGGGCUGGGCAGGGGAAGGGCAUGUGGAGUGGACAGCAGGCUUAAGCAGAGCCCCUCACCUUUCCGGAACUUCUCUGCCUGGUCUCGCCACUGUUUCACUUCAUUCUCGUUGAUGAGCCUGGCAGGGCAUAGAGGGAAGGGGCAAUGUGAUUGUUGACCAUUGAUUCACAGCUUCCCAGGAGACAUCAUCUUUCUACCCUCCAGGUGGGGACCCUGGUCUCCAAUCUGUCCAGCCACAUCAAGGGGGCUAGGAUUUAGACUUCCCAGGUGUCUCUCCAGGUCCCCUGCCCCGUUCACAUUAUGUGUCUGUGGAGACCGUGAGAGAAAAGACCUUUAGAUACCCUAUAACCCGGCCCCUUUGUGAUACAGCCGGAGCCACUGAGGCUCAGAGAAUGGGGAUAGGGCAAGAGCUAAUUAAUGGUAGAACUAGGACUGAACCUCAGGCUCCCAAGAAUUAUAUCAUGACUUGCACCUCCUUGUAAAAUAGGUUUUACCUUUAAAAGAGAUCAAAAUAUUGGCCCUACCAUGGUCCAGGUUUCCAAAGACCAAUGCGUAAGAGCAAGAGACAUCACCCACACCAGCAAUACAGACUGAAUGUGUUCAGAGUGACACAGAGGACAGCCUUGUUCAUGCCAAGCUCUUGAAACUGUGUUCAAAUUUAGCUUUUACCUUGACACCAAGGCCUAACAGAGGUGAAAUCCCAAAGCGAGAUCCCAAGAAUCCUUUCCUUUAUAAAUCUGAGAAUGUGGAAGAGUUAGACCCAUGACUUUUGGCCUCUUCAGCCACAUCAAGGACAUAGAGAACAGAGUAUGGAGAGGGAGAGUAUUUCAUGAAGACAUUUCUUUGAAGAGGGCCACUGCUGUUAUCCCCAAGAUGCUACCUCCUUCACCACCAUCCAAGGAAGGGGUUUCUUUGGGCCUUCCCCAAGAGUUUUGACUCAUGUUCCCUGAAGUUGGGAGGGAGGUAGGGUAGACUGGGGCCCUACUUGGAACCAAGCAAAGCCCUGGGAGCAAAAGAAGAACACUGCUGUGUGGGGCCCUGCCAGCACUCCUAGAGUUCGUUGGCACAAGAGAUGGCAUGAGGGUUGCCCAUGGGUCAGAUAUAAGCCUCAUGGAGGAACUGGGGUGCAGUUUUCACAGUCCUGUGCAAGGGGAGCUGUUUCCACCUGAGCGAAAAGUGGGAACAUCCACACCAUAAGUCUACAGGCAGUGGACUGCCAGGGAACCAGGGACAGAUGGAAGAGCUGGAAGCAGCCAGCCAGCUGGAACAAAAAUCUUGCAUGGCCAGUGAGCUGGGUUUUGUAGUGAGAGGCACCCAGCAAGGAACUUCUGAAGAUUCCAGGAACACACUGACGUCUUUACCCAUAUGCCAAAAAGGCAAGAGAGCAGGGAGCCUGUUUACUAAAUUAUCUUAUCAAGUAAGACCUUUUCCCUCUUUCCUUCCUGUCCCCAGGCUGCCUCUUCAGAGGGUCGGACUGGUUUGUAGAAAGGAGGGGUGGGAGAUAGAAGGGGUUACAGGGUAAAUAGAACAGAGAAAAGAAGGCAAAUAUCACACACAGACAUAUGUGCACACAUAUGCACAUACACACACGCACACACACACACACACACACACCCUUCCCAUUCCAGUUUCCUGGCCCCAGCUGGUGGAGGAGAAAGAUUUAAGGCUAAAUCAUGUCUAGAAUGUCAUGUCAUGAUUUUAGUCCUCCUAGUUGUAGAUUUCAGACUAUGUUGCACUUGAAAGUGAUCUUAGGACUCCUGUUACCCAAGAAGGGUUAAAAACUUCAUUGGACCUCAGGAGUUUUUAUCCUCUGGCAGUGGAAAAGAUUGCCUACUAAAUAGUGUAAUGAAUUGGUAGGAAAUAAAACUAAAGUCACCUUUUGAUCACUUUCCCAGUUGCACUUGUCCAACAUACCAAUUAGGAUUUUAACUACAUCAAUAUCUGACUAUGCAAAUGAAAACAGUAGCAAGAAUAGCUGGAAAAUAAUUGUGUACUUGGCUUUGGAAUGCAACAUAAUGAAUCAUUGACAGCCAAUUUAUCUCCUUAAGGGCAAGUGGCUCAAACUCAUACUGAAAGUUAAGUAAAAGCUUAAAAUUAAAAAUUAGUAUGUUAAUGUAAGGCCUUAUUAUUAAUUGAUGUAGAUUUAAAUGUUUCUCUGUGUUUCUCUAUCCAAGAUCAAUAAAAUAUGGUAAACCAGAAGGCCUUAGGCUCUGAUAACCUUAUCCAGCAACCUCAUGAUCAAAUGGUCAGGCUCUAUGUCAGUGGUCAGCAAACUUUCUAUAAAGGGCCAGAGUAAAUAUUUUAGGUUUUACAUACCAUGCAUAGUCUCUGUCACUUAUACUUGUGUGUGUGUGUUGUUUGAAAUGUAAAAAUUAUUAGUUCAUGGGCCAUACACAAUAAGCUGGAGGACUGGAGUCAGCCCAUGCACCCAUAGUUUGCUGACCCUUGUUCUACGUUAAUGUGUUUAAAUUCCCCAUCUAUCCAAGCCAUGCAGUGGAUCGUGGAGAGUUGAGAACAUGCCCAAUACACCUGUGUUGGCUGUCCAAGAGAGUAAUCACUAGCCACGUGUCAUGUGGCUAUUGAAAUUUAAAUGAAACAACCUUUAAGAUUCAGUUCCUUGGUCAUACUAGCCGUGUGUCAAGUACUCCAUAGCCACAUUUGGCUGCCAUGUUGAACAGUAGAGAAAUGCACUUUUUUCAUUAGCUUAGAGAGUUCUGUUGGACCAUGCUGCCCAAGACUCAUUUCGGGAUGACUGGGUUGCGAAAGGGAGCUGAGGUUUCGCUGGUGAGACCAGAGUGGGAGAGUGAUGAGGAAGGUGGAGGAAGACAGGGCAAAGGCUGGCCACUGCUCACAUGUUGACGAUGUUCUUGACAUUGAAGUUCUCCAAGGGAGCCAGGUCAGGGUCCACACCCCGCUCAUCCUGGAGGACAAUCUGCUGGAGGAUGCGGUCCAGGAGCUGCCACUGCUGGAAGUAGCCACCGUUCCGUUUGUCUGAGGGAUGACAGGUAUCAUAUCUUUCCUGAGUCCUGAAGUCCCCCUUGGGCCCCACCCUAGAGUUGCUGCCUGGGGUCUGGCUGGUGAGGCAUGCCCUUCUCCACCUAUGGUAAGCUCCCAGUCUAGAAGAAGAGGCAAUGCCAUUGCUGAUAAUGGCAACUCACUGAUUCAGUCAUCUCUUGAUUAUCGGCAACUAGACUUCUACGGAUGUGUCAACCACCUCCCCAACAUAUUUCUCUACUCCCUGAAAUACUUUCUGGCUGCCUUUCUUCCUUGUUUGGACCCUGGGCAUACUAUGCCCAGGAAGUGCAGAUUGCUUUUUACAUUAUCUAUAAAAACCACCUGCUCCAAAAUAUUACAUGCUGAAUAAUGAAGUCUCCAGGGAAGUUUUUUUUAAAAAAGAUUUUAGGAUUAUCCACAUUAUUACUCUACAGAGAAAGAUGAAGGGAAACUGAUUGCAGGUGUGCACUGAGAGUCAAAAUGGGUUAGAGAAGUGCUUAAUGGAACUCGAGAAAAUUUCUUGUGGAAGUGACCUUGAACUAUGAAGGUAAAGGCAUAGUGUGUUGUGUGUGAUCUCAUAGAGUCUCACUCUCAUCCCCUCUAAUGAUAGUCAUCUGGCUGGACAUGGACUUCCUUUUUAUGUAAUAACCACAAACUCUCUUUCCUUGGUCCUUGAUCCCUAGCACUUUAUUGACCAUCAUAAAAAGCCAACAAGUUCAAUCCUGACAUCAAAGCAAACCACAAUGCCUACAAGGUAGAAUAUCGAGUCUGCAAAGCCCCAUUUUGGGGCAGAGUAGAAGAACCCAUUCACAUUGCCCAUGGAACAGGAAACACAGGAAUCCCUGGGAGCACAAGAAGUCAGGUUUCCCAGAGAUUUCUAUGCCCUUCAUGAAGACCUGCUGCAAUGAGCUUUGGAGAACUGAUAGCUUCUUAAUUCAGGUCACUGCAUCUAUCCUGUCCACAAGUCUACUGACACAUGCAUUGCAAAGUUGUAUCAUUUACCAUCUACUUUUCACCCAGCAAAAUCGUGUAAAGCCAGGUCACUAGCUCAAAGAGGCAGAACAUGUUUUAUCUCAACCCUUGACCCCGCAGAAACCAAAAUUCUUUCUAUAUGUAAAUAUCUCGCUGAGCCUCAGGUUCACUCACUAUUCAAAUGGACAUAAUAAUGUGUAUUCCUUAGGUCAUUCUAAGGUUCAGAGAUGAUGUGCUAAAGGACCUCACAUCACGCCUGGCCCAGAGUUGGCACACAAUAAGUCACAGUUGUCAUCACUGUCACUAUGAUUGCUGACACCGCCAACAUCAACCAUUAUGGUGGGCCACACUGGUUUUCAAAAUAUUCUCUUUUGUGAAGAGCUUAAGUACCAAGGGGUACAGUUAAAGCUCAUUUCAAAUUGCAUUCUGGAGUGGCUAUUAGCAAUUAUGUACAAUUUAUUCAAUCACUGUGCACACCUGGAUCUUAAGAACUUAGCCAUCUGCUCCCAUAGAUGCUGACAUUUGGUAUUUGUAGGCAGAAGCAGGGGCAAGAGUGCAAGAGUGGAAGCCAACAAGGACUAGAUGAAGGAGUUGAUAAAACCUUAAGGAAAAAAACAACCAUGUUCAUUCCACAUCUGUGCUACUCCCCCAAGCACAAAACUUUUUGGAACUCCCCAGCAUGACUGAUCUCUCCCCCGUCAUGAGCUGAAAGCUGAGCUAUUUAAUUUUGCAAUGAUCAAGCUACCGUUUUUGGACUAGGAUGUUGGAGUUGCUCAGGGCCAAGUCCCCAGCUCCUUCCCCAGAUGACAGUGAAGACCUGACCCCAAGGAGGGAAGGAAAAGCAGGGGCCUCCGUCAUGGGGCCUGCCCUCCCAAAAGCAAGUGCACAGGGAGACAUGGUCAGACUCCCCAAACCAGGGAGGUCCCAAAGUCUUGUCUAAACCUGCCCCAAGUCAAGGUUCAGGCCAGUCGAGGGAAGCAGCAAGUGCAGGGUACUUACAGGGCAUCUGCAGGCAGUGGUGCAGCACAGAGAGCAGGCAGGGGUAGGCCUCCGUGUACUUCAGCUUCUUGUGGAUCAACUCAAACAUCUGGGAAGCACUCUUGGUGUCGAUGUGGACCUGGGAGAGAAGAGGGCACAGUGAUCAGUGGGUAGGCAGCAGAGGAAGUCAGCAGGAGAGAGAAGACCCUGCUUCCAUCCACUAUGCCCUGUCUCAUAGGAAAGGUUUUCUUCCCCUGCCUCUGGCCCAGGCUUAAAAAGAGAAAGACAAAAGGAACAGGGAGAUAGUCAAUUUUAUAAACUAGAGUUUCUCAGUCUCAGCACUAUUGGCAUCUUGGGUCAGAUAAUUACUCAUUGUGGGGGCUGCCCUGUGCUUUGUAGGUUGUGUAUCAGCACCCCAGCCUCUCCUUAGCAGAUGCCAGUGGCACCCCCUCACACAAGUCAAAAUGUCCCCAGACAUUGCAAAUGUCCCCAGGGGGAGAGGAGAGCAAAAUCAUCCCUGCUUGAGAGCUACUGAUCCAAACUAGGGAAGGGAGCAGGGGCAUAGAGGAUUCAAAGUAGCAGGUGGAAUGUGGCGCAGGUCCACCACCUGGGUUCAAACCCCAGAUCUACGCUUUAGUUGUGUGAUGACAGGCAAGCUGCUUAUCCCCUCUAACCUCUGUUUCUGUAUCUAUAAAUCCAGGGCUUUUGUGAAAAUAUAAUGGAUGCACUCAGUGACUGUAAAGCACCACCCAAAAGUAGCUUUCUAUUUGGAUGGGGAUUUUAUAACACAAUAAAGCAGAGUUGUGUGCUUUCAGGGUUGCCGAGGUUAAAAUGAAAAUACAAUUUAGUUUGCUAAGCAUGAUCUGGUUAGGGAUGGGGAGAGGGGACUCAGGAAGUUGCUGGAAGGCAGGGGAAAGUCAGCCCAGGAAAGGUAUUUGAGACUAAUCACAUGCAAUAACUUGCUCCCUUUCCUUUGGGGGUUUCAGUCUCCUCCUAGGCCGAUGCCUUCCCGGGGGAGGCUUCCACAGCCUGCAUACUACCAAGGCUCUGGAAGUGAGAUGUGAUGGUUCGUUUUAGGUGUCAACUUGACUGGAUCAAGGGAUACUCAGAUAGCUGGUAAAGAAUUCUUUCUGGGUAUGUCUGUGAGGGUGUUUCCCAAAGAGACUGGCAUUUGAAUCAGAGGACUGGGUAAGGAAGAUCCCACACCAGCUCCACCACAGCACAGGGCCUGGAGAAAUGGCUGUGGGGCCACCUAGAACCCUACUACCAUACUACGAUCACUCCACCCUGUGGGCUCCUCACCAUCCAAUCAGCUUAGGGUCUGGAGAGAACAAAAAGGCCAAGGAAAGGUGAAUUUUCUGUCUACCUCUUUUGGAGCCAGGACAUCCUUCUUUUCCUGCCCUUGGACAUCAGAACAGCAGGCUCUCCAGCUUUUGGAUUCCAGAACUUGCUCCAGUGGCCCCUUAUGUUCUCAGGCCCUUGGCCUUGGACUGAGCCAUGCUACUGGCUUCCCUGUUUCUCCAUGCAAUAACUCCGACCUGUCAUGGGACUUCUCAGUCUCCAUAGUUGCGUGAGCCAAUUCGCCUAAUAAAUGCCCUCUCAUCUGUCUAUCUCUAUAUAUGUAUCCUAUUGGUUGUGUUUCUAUGAAGAACUAUGACUGAUCACAGGACCUGGCCAUGGGGGUGCCCACCAGGGAACCAGCCCACACCAGCCCUGCCACAACACGGGGUCUAGAAAAGUGGCUGUGGGGCCACCAAGAACCCUACUACCCCAUUGCAAUCGCUCCACCCUGCUGGCUCCUCACCAUGUCAAACCUCCUGGCUAGCUCCAGGUCAUCCUCAUUCCGCACCAUCUCGAAGAAGUCUAAAUGUCUAGACAGAAUGGGGAGACAGAGAGAGUAGACAUUACAGCCAGGACACACCCUUGGUUGAGGGUUACAGCCCCUUCGAGCCCCCCACUGGCUAAAUCUGAAAGCUUCAUUCAAGCAAAAUGAAGGCAAAAUGGGAAAGAAGCCGCUGUUUGUAGGACACCCAUUGUCUGCCCUUUAUAAGAUCCCAUGACCUUCCUUCAGGGAGGCCAAUCCAGGGUCCCUUCACCUUAGAAUGGGCUUCUAUACUUCGGCACUACUGACAUUUUGGGCUCGCUUAUCUUUGGUUGUGGGAGGCUGAUCUGUGAGGAUGUUUAGCAGCAUCCCCAGCCUCCACCCACUAGAUGCCAGCAGCACCCCCUAGUGUGACAACCAAGAAUGUAAUGUCUGCAGGCAUCGCCCAAUGUCUCUCAGUUGAGGACAUCAGCCCUGGUCUAUUUUCCCCAGUACUUUCAUAGGGUCUCCAAGUCAACCCUCAAAACUAAUCUCUCCCUCAUUUUCUAUCCUCAUGCACACAUCCACUUGUUCCACCUCAAAAGGAUCCAUCCUCUGUCCCUUAAAACCUAGUGUAAUAAAAUAGCCUAAACUAAUGGGACAGAACCAGAGGGGCCUCACUGGUAUCACAUGGGAACAUAAUUGUGCCCUUGGAUCAACAAGGGCGUUAUAGCAAGCAUUUUGGGUGGGACAUUUCUUUGUUGAGCAGGAAGGUACUGCGGGACAUUUAGCAUUCCUGGCCCCCAACAACCAAUACCAGUAUUGCCCACCAUCAACCAGUUUGAAAACCAAAGAGUACCCUCAUAUAUUUCCACAUGCCCCCCAGGGGGAAGUACUGCAAUGGUUGAGGGCUACUGGGUUCACCUGUCUAUAACAUCAGAGAUGAGACAAGCAGGUCAGCAAAGAGGACAGGCAAGGGCACCCCUUCCCCCCACAGAGCUGAUUCUGAAUCUGCGCUGGGAAUGGCAGCUGGUCUCCAGAGGGAAGGGCAGCCUUCACAAAGGUCCCAACUAUCCCCAUCUGAGGCACUGUCCCCACAGGUUUGCAAUGGAGACGGGUGCUUGGAACUUACUUGUCCAGGAUGGCAUUUUCAUGUUGCCGGAGCUUGUCAAUCACAGGCUGUAUACCCAGCAUCAGGAAUUCAUACCGUAGAUGUAGGCGGAACUCCAGAUUAUCCUGGGGGUCACCAAGGGAGGGCCAGACUCAUUGGCAGAUCUCAGUUUCCACAACAUCCCCAGUGGAGCCCUCAUCACCACCCUAGCCACAGACCCAACACAUCUCCCACAGCUAACUCACCUGGAGCUGCUUCCAAUCCCAGAGUUCCAAGAAAGAAUGGAGACCUUAUUUCUUAGUUUAAAGCAAACCCACUGCCCAGCUUCUUUUAGGUCUCCUGCCCCACUUCCUUCAAGCCCCUUGCCAGUUCUAGCCUUCAGCACCAAAGAGCAGUGUUGUAGAGUGACAUGGAGCACAAGCUUUGGAAUCAGACAGAUCUUGGAUCUGGUUUUGUGACCUUGGGAAAACUUUUAGUUUCCCCAUUUGUGAAAUGAUCAUAGCAUAACUAAUCUACAGGGAUGACACUUGUUAUAAUUACCUGAUGAGGUGUGGUUACCAGCUAAUCAGAGCACAUGCC